This 31-nucleotide non-coding RNA is filed under the name Mus musculus (house mouse). Lineage: Eukaryota; Metazoa; Chordata; Mammalia; Rodentia; Muridae. The record is from RNAcentral.
UGCCGACUGUUUCUGGCUCAAGUUUCCCAGA